UACGUAGGGUGCGAGCGUUAAUCGGAAUUACUGGGCGUAAAGCGUGCGCAGGCGGUGAUGUAAGACCGAUGUGAAAUCCCCGGGCUUAACCUGGGAACUGCAUUGGUGACUGCAUCGCUCGAGUAUGGCAGAGGGAGGUGGAAUUCCGCGUGUAGCAGUGAAAUGCGUAGAUAUGCGGAGGAACACCGAUGGCGAAGGCAGCCUCCUGGGAUAACACUGACGCUCAUGCACGAAAGCGUGGGGAGCAAACAGG
Molecule: ribosomal RNA, 253 nt
Filed under: uncultured bacterium
Lineage: Bacteria
Description: partial 16S ribosomal RNA
Rfam family: Bacterial small subunit ribosomal RNA
Source: RNAcentral